GGGAUAGCUCUGCCGCCGCCACCGUCGCGGGUCCUUUCCCCGGCUGUCGCUUCCUCGGCGGCCUCUGCACGGCACUCCGAGCGGCGACGGACUCGUAGAGGACGACGGCCGGUCCAAGAGAAGAUAAGGCUGGGCCGUCACGUGCGAUGGGCUCAGAAGAUGACUGGGCCUGGACAACAACAAAUGGACUUGCAUGUGGAUUCAGUUUGCGUUGCUUCGGAUUGCAGUGAAGUGGUGGCCAAUAUUGAAGCAGGCGUUCCGUGUCACUAUGUCACUAUCUUGAGGGAGAUCACAGCCCAGCGGACCUUAUUCCGAGACCCGAAGUUUAUCCGUGAGAAGCGUCAACAUAAUGGCGAGGCACACGCACUUGGCAAAGCUAGUUCUUCC
Molecule: ribosomal RNA, 387 nt
Filed under: Triticum aestivum (bread wheat)
Lineage: Eukaryota; Viridiplantae; Streptophyta; Magnoliopsida; Poales; Poaceae
Description: partial small subunit ribosomal RNA
Source: RNAcentral